Molecule: ribosomal RNA, 385 nt
Filed under: Escherichia coli 2-222-05_S3_C1
Lineage: Bacteria; Pseudomonadati; Pseudomonadota; Gammaproteobacteria; Enterobacterales; Enterobacteriaceae
Description: partial 16S ribosomal RNA
Rfam family: Bacterial large subunit ribosomal RNA
Source: RNAcentral
CUCCUGACUGACCGAUAGUGAACCAGUACCGUGAGGGAAAGGCGAAAAGAACCCCGGCGAGGGGAGUGAAAAAGAACCUGAAACCGUGUACGUACAAGCAGUGGGAGCACGCUUAGGCGUGUGACUGCGUACCUUUUGUAUAAUGGGUCAGCGACUUAUAUUCUGUAGCAAGGUUAACCGAAUAGGGGAGCCGAAGGGAAACCGAGUCUUAACUGGGCGUUAAGUUGCAGGGUAUAGACCCGAAACCCGGUGAUCUAGCCAUGGGCAGGUUGAAGGUUGGGUAACACUAACUGGAGGACCGAACCGACUAAUGUUGAAAAAUUAGCGGAUGACUUGUGGCUGGGGGUGAAAGGCCAAUCAAACCGGGAGAUAGCUGGUUCUCCCC